GGGCGGUUCGCCGCCGACGACGUCGCGAGAAGUUCACUGAACCUUAUCAUUUAGAGGAAGGAGAAGUCGUAACAAGGUUUCCGUAGGUGAACCUGCGGAAGGAUCAUUG
Molecule: ribosomal RNA, 109 nt
Filed under: Silene davidii
Lineage: Eukaryota; Viridiplantae; Streptophyta; Magnoliopsida; Caryophyllales; Caryophyllaceae
Also listed under: 1 other name
Description: partial 18S ribosomal RNA
Rfam family: Eukaryotic small subunit ribosomal RNA
Source: RNAcentral